This is a long non-coding RNA of Mustela lutreola (European mink), 221 nucleotides long. RefSeq lists it as uncharacterized. The record is from RefSeq and is a predicted model, not a curated record. Lineage: Eukaryota; Metazoa; Chordata; Mammalia; Carnivora; Mustelidae. The transcript is spliced from 2 exons.
AGCCAUUUGACUGUACCAACUCCCAGCUGGAGAUUUCUGGGGUUCCCUCAGAGCAAGAACAAGCCAGGUUUAUGAACUGCAGAGCACCUAACACAAUAAAGUGUCUCAGUUGCUUUAAGAUAGAAUAAAUUUGGAUGCUUAUUGUACAAAUAUUUUGGAAGACUGGACUUCUAAAAAUAAAGGCUUGAUUCUCUUAAAUAUCCUCUUACUUUAGGUAAGCA